UAGGGAAUCUUCGGCAAUGGACGAAAGUCUGACCGAGCAACGCCGCGUGAGUGAAGAAGGUUGUCGGAUCGUAAAACUCUGUUGUUAGAGAAGAACAAGGACGUUAGUAACUGAACGUCCCCUGACGGUAUCUAACCAGAAAGCCACGGCUAACUACGUGCCAGCAGCCGCGGUAAUACGUAGGUGGCAAGCGUUGUCCGGAUUUAUUGGGCAUAAAGCGAGCGCAGGCGGUUUCUUAAGUCUGAUGUGAAAGCCCCCGGCUCAACCGGGGAGGGGCUUUGGAAGCUGGGAGAGUUGGGUGCAGAAGGGGGGGGUGGAACUUCAGGUGUAGCGGUGCAAUGCGAUGAUAUUAGGAAGAACACCAGUGGCGAAGGCGGCUCUCUGGACUAUUACUGACGCUGAGGCUCGAAAGCGUGGGGAGCAAACAGG
Molecule: ribosomal RNA, 429 nt
Filed under: Gemmatimonadota bacterium
Lineage: Bacteria; Pseudomonadati; Gemmatimonadota
Description: Gemmatimonadetes bacterium partial 16S ribosomal RNA
Rfam family: Bacterial small subunit ribosomal RNA
Source: RNAcentral